This 425-nucleotide ribosomal RNA is filed under the name uncultured bacterium. RNAcentral's name for it is "partial 16S ribosomal RNA". It matches the Rfam family "Bacterial small subunit ribosomal RNA", at positions 354 to 796 of the family's 1533-position model. The record is from RNAcentral.
GUGGGGAAUCUUAGACAAUGGGGGCAACCCUGAUCUAGCCAUGCCGCGUGAUCGAUGAAGGCCUUAGGGUUGUAAAGAUCUUUCAGCUGGGAAGAUAAUGACGGUACCAGCAGAAGAAGCCCCGGCUAACUCCGUGCCAGCAGCCGCGGUAAUACGGAGGGGGCUAGCGUUGUUCGGAAUUACUGGGCGUAAAGCGCACGUAGGCGGAUUGGAAAGUUGGGGGUGAAAUCCCGGGGCUCAACCCCGGAACUGCCUUCAAAACUCCCAGUCUUGAGGUCGAGAGAGGUGAGUGGAAUUCCGAGUGUAGAGGUGAAAUUCGUAGAUAUUCGGAGGAACACCAGUGGCGAAGGCGGCUCACUGGCUCGAUACUGACGCUGAGGUGCGAAAGCGUGGGGAGCAAACAGGAUUAGAUACCCGAGUAGUCC